UGCCAGACUCCUACGGGAGGCAGCAGUGGGGAAUAUUGCACAAUGGGGGGAACCCUGAUGCAGCGACGCCGCGUGAGUGAAGAAGUAUUUCGGUAUGUAAAGCUCUAUCAGCAGGGAAGAAGAUGACGGUACCUGACUAAGAAGCCCCGGCUAACUACGUGCCAGCAGCCGCGGUAAUACGUAGGGGGCAAGCGUUAUCCGGAUUUACUGGGUGUAAAGGGAGCGUAGACGGCAGCACAAGUCUGGAGUGAAAUGCCGGGGCUUAACCCCGGAACUGCUUUGGAAACUGUGCAGCUAGAGUGCAGGAGAGGUAAGUGGAAUUCCUAGUGUAGCGGUGAAAUGCGUAGAUAUUAGGAGGAACACCAGUGGCGAAGGCGGCUUACUGGACUGUAACUGACGUUGAGGCUCGAAAGCAUGGGUAGCGAACAGGAUUAGAUACCCCAGUAUUG
RNAcentral lists this ribosomal RNA (449 nucleotides) under uncultured bacterium. Its description in RNAcentral is "bacterial SSU rRNA". It matches the Rfam family "Bacterial small subunit ribosomal RNA", at positions 329 to 793 of the family's 1533-position model. The record is from RNAcentral.